Long non-coding RNA from Heterocephalus glaber (naked mole-rat), 492 nucleotides. RefSeq lists it as uncharacterized. NCBI's taxonomy places the organism in Eukaryota, Metazoa, Chordata, Mammalia, Rodentia, Bathyergidae. The record is from RefSeq and is a predicted model, not a curated record.
GCCAGUCAGCUCAUAUCAGUUGCAGGAAUGAAUCCACUGCAACUGGACAGAAAUCUCCCAUUGCAGCUGAUCUUGUUGCAUCUUCUCUCUGCCAUCAACUAACAUCUUUGUUUGGCCUCACUCUUCUGCUGUUAUUUUCCCACCUUGGAGUUAGCUAGCCAUGGACUGAAUCUUCUGAAACUCUGCAAGAGCUUGUGUGAGGAACCUGAGCUCUAGAAUGGAAUGCUGUCAAGAUGACUCCUUAAUUACAACCCUGUGGAGACUCUAAGCAGAGGAAUGGGCUAAGCUAUGCCUGAACCUCUGACCCAUAGAAGAGAAACUCCUGUCUUCACUUUCAUUUUGGACACCACCACCUGGCUCCCAGCACAGACCCUUUGUACUCCUGGUAUGGAACGCCACAGGAUACUAUGCAGAGCUGCAGCCCUUGGACCUGAUUCUUUGGAACCCCAGUGCCAGACAGACCUUUUGCACCCUUCCAAACCUGAUUCUGUA